This is a non-coding RNA of Oryza glumipatula, 202 nucleotides long. The record is from Rfam. Lineage: Eukaryota; Viridiplantae; Streptophyta; Magnoliopsida; Poales; Poaceae.
AAUAGGUAUAGUUUUAUACUGUUUAUAUCCAACGUUUAACCGUUCGUCUUAUUUGAAAUUUUUUAUGAUUAUUAUAUUUGUUGAUAUUACAUGAUAAAAUAUGAACAAUACUUUAUGUGUGAUUUUUAUUUAUUUUUUUCAUAAACUUUUUUAAAUAAGACGGACGGUUAAAUAUUGGACACGGAUACCUACUGCAGUUUCG